RNAcentral lists this small nuclear RNA (219 nucleotides) under Cynoglossus semilaevis (tongue sole). RNAcentral describes it as "U2 spliceosomal RNA (ENSCSEG00000018349.1)". The stretch from base 1 to 191 matches the Rfam family "U2 spliceosomal RNA". From Rfam's summary of the family: U2 is a small nuclear RNA (snRNA) component of the spliceosome (involved in pre-mRNA splicing). Complementary binding between U2 snRNA (in an area lying towards the 5' end but 3' to hairpin I) and the branchpoint sequence (BPS) of the intron results the bulging out of an unpaired adenosine, on the BPS, which initiates a nucleophilic attack at the intronic 5' splice site, thus starting the first of two transesterification reactions that mediate splicing. The record is from RNAcentral. Lineage: Eukaryota; Metazoa; Chordata; Actinopteri; Pleuronectiformes; Cynoglossidae.
AUCGCUUCUCUGCCUUUUGGCUAAGAUCAAGUGUAGUAUCUGUUUAUAUCAGUUUAAUAUCUGAUAUGUCCCCUCUCCGCGGACCAUAUAUUAGUUGACUUUUGGACAAAGGAGAUGGUAUAGGAGCUUGCUCUGACCACUCUACGCAUCGGCCUGGUAUUGCAAGAAAUGACGUGAAUGUUUUACCUGGACAAUAUUUCUGGUAUCGAUGGGAAUGCA